This is a long non-coding RNA of Coregonus clupeaformis (lake whitefish), 750 nucleotides long. RefSeq lists it as uncharacterized. The transcript has 3 exons. Lineage: Eukaryota; Metazoa; Chordata; Actinopteri; Salmoniformes; Salmonidae. The record is from RefSeq and is a predicted model, not a curated record.
GUAACUACGAGGGUACGGCUAGGUUCGGGAAAUUUUAGAUAAUACUGGUGACUGGCAAGGUCCGUAACUAAGGGUUGCGGCUAGGUUCAGCACAGUGUUUUGAAUAAAAUAGAAGAGGCUGUGUGCCCAAAUAGAUUGUGUGUGGAACAUGGGUGUAAUUGAUGACUGUGUGACAUAUUUGACUGUAUGAUAGGAUUAUGACUGUGUAUUGUGAGUGAGGGCGAUAACUGUGCACUAUUUUUGCUGGGUGAUAACUGUAUACUACGUUUAACUGUGUACCAUUUUUGACUGUGAAUACAAAGAAUAUUUUAAAAAAACAGUAAAUAAUGAGAAAUGCAAUUAGGAACUAAAGUUUAAAGUGUGCGUUAACAAAAAACACCCAUAGGAGGUACUAUAAAAGUUAGACAGUGCGAGUGUUGUCGGAUGCAUGAAAGUGUGAAUGAUAAACCUGUAUACCUUGAUAGAAAACAAAUUGGGAAUCAAAAGACGUUUGUGGCUGACCAAACGGUAUAAUUUGGGAAUAAAUGUUGGAUUUGUGGUUACUCAAACCAUAUAACCCGUCAGUAACAAUCGAAAACAUGAAAUGAAAAGUUAAGAAUGAGUGUGACUGAACUAAAACGGUUGAAUUGAUAUAUUGAAAUAUAACGUUUGGUGUUUGAAAUAGCAUAAUACUGCUUUUGAAUAGUUGUGUCGAAACAAUUCGGUUUAGUAUUUGAUUUGAGGUUUGAUGUUUGACAUAGAAUAAUACUG